GACGGAGGAGGCUAGCGUUGUUCGGAAUUACUGGGCGUAAAGCGUACGCAGGCGGUUGAUCAAGUCAGGUGUGAAAGCCCGGGGCUCAACCUCGGAAUUGCGCCUGAGACUGGUCGGCUAGAGUUCGGAAGAGGAGAGUGGAAUUCCCAGUGUAGAGGUGAAAUUCGUAGAUAUUGGGAAGAACACCAGUGGCGAAGGCGACUCUCUGGUCCGAUACUGACGCUCAAGUACGAAAGCGUGGGGAGCAAAC
Molecule: ribosomal RNA, 250 nt
Filed under: uncultured bacterium
Lineage: Bacteria
Description: partial 16S ribosomal RNA
Rfam family: Bacterial small subunit ribosomal RNA
Source: RNAcentral